RNAcentral lists this long non-coding RNA (332 nucleotides) under Medicago truncatula (barrel medic). RNAcentral describes it as "lncRNA gene33112". Lineage: Eukaryota; Viridiplantae; Streptophyta; Magnoliopsida; Fabales; Fabaceae. The record is from RNAcentral.
UUAUAGUCCAAAUUUUUGAUGUCAUUUUUUCUAAACGACCAUGUUAUUAAGUUUUGGUCAAUUUAUGUUGUUUUUUUAAUUUUUGUGAUGGUUGGGGUUUGAACUUUGGACUUUGCAUAUAUUAUGCAUUGUCCCUACCAAUCUUAUUGGUUAGACAAAUGUUUGAAGGAAUUUUUACUUCACAAAACAAAAUCUGUUCUUGUAUUUCACCAUGAAUGAUAUUCCACCAUCACCAAAGAAACAAUCCUUCAAAGAGAAACACAAAGGGAGAUUAAGAGUGUUAGAGAAAAUGUUGGACAAAGAAUUACUUUGAUUAAAGAGAGGGCAAUGUC